Molecule: ribosomal RNA, 451 nt
Filed under: uncultured bacterium
Lineage: Bacteria
Description: bacterial SSU rRNA
Rfam family: Bacterial small subunit ribosomal RNA
Source: RNAcentral
AGUUUGAUCCGUGCUCAGAACGACGCUGGCGGCAUGCCUAACACAUGCAAGUCGAAACGAGACCUUCGGGUCUAGUGGCGCACGGGUGCGUUAACGCGUGGGAAUCUGCCCCUUGGUUCGGAAUAACAGCGAGAAAUUGCUGCUAAUACCGGAUAAUGACGUAAGUCCAAAGAUUUAUCGCCAAGGGAUGAGCCCGCGUAGGAUUAGCUAGUUGGUGUGGUAAAGGCGCACCAAGGCGACGAUCCUUAGCUGGUCUGAGAGGAUGAUCAGCCACACUGGGACUGAGACACGGCCCAGACUCCUACGGGAGGCAGCAGUGGGGAAUAUUGGACAAUGGGCGAAAGCCUGAUCCAGCAAUGCCGCGUGAGUGAUGAAGGCCUUAGGGUUGUAAAGCUCUUUACCCGGGAUGAUAAUGACAGUACCGGGAGAAUAAGCUCCGGCUAACUCCGUG